RNAcentral lists this unclassified non-coding RNA (224 nucleotides) under uncultured fungus. Its description in RNAcentral is "sequence contains ITS1". Lineage: Eukaryota; Fungi. The record is from RNAcentral.
CGAUAUAAUCCUCACGGAUUUCUAAUCCGUACCCACCUCUUGUGCACUUGUUUAACGUUAGCUCCCUAUUGGCGUGCCACAAAAACGGUGUUGGUCUCCUCGCGGAGCCUUCUGCUGGGCGCGGUUUCCGGUAGGCGAGCACUUUUUAUUCACCUUCUUGUUGCUAAACCCCAAUUGUCUGAAUUUGUCAUUUUUGGCUUUUAAAUAAGCAGAAAUUUCAAAUA